GGGGACAGUGGGUGAAUGAUCUUCCAGAGCUCCUGUUCCUGCUGGGGUCAUUAAUCAUGGGCAGCUGCACAGCAGGACACCCUCAGCCAGCCACACAUCCGCACAGGAAUGGAGAGCUCUGCCCAUAACUUUUCCUCCUUGGCAAACCCUAUUUCUUAUGCAAACCCUCAGAGCUGCAAGUUCAAGGACAAAGUGGAGGGCACAGAAGACCGGAACCAGCUGUUUCCCAAUGUGAGACGCCCAUUGGUGAGCCGGUGAGCUGUCAGGCCCGUGAGAUGCUGGCCCCAUUGACUGAGCUGGGAAGGUAGAGCCCCUGGAGCACUGGGGUGGGAGCGCAGGAUUGCAAUGGAGACACCAGAAAGGCUGGGGACAGGGCAGCACCUAGAUUUCAGCCCUUGGGGCAAACUGGAGAGUCUAAGGGUCAUCAGUUGCACAGGACAGGAUGACUCGUGAGAGUCGAAGGGACAGAGAGGAAUGAGAGAGGGGGACACUCUGAGGCCGCCGCCGUGUUGGCAUUUCUGCUGUUCUUAGGGUUUGGCUGUGUGAGAUCAGUGUUCAUUCACAUGGAAGAGGGAGAGAAGGACACGGUGGUCUCUCUGCCAGCUCCGCAGGCCACUAGGGCCCCGUCUGUUGAGGACGUACUGUGCCAGGCAACUCCCCAGGGUGGAAUGUCAAGCCUGCUUACCUCCUGAUUUUACACCAAGGCCUGGAACUCACUAGACUGAUGGCUUUGAAGACAAGCCAGACCCGUGACAGUGAGACUAAGGAUCCACAGCCCCUUUGGGCUCAUUCAAGGACCACAGGUUUUUUUCAAAUCCCACUUAGAACCAAACCCCAGUUCAGUGAUGGAGAAGAGAAUGCUUUGACAGUUAUAUUUCUCAAGGCCCAACAUUUGCAGACCACCACAUGCGAAGACUCUGAAGGGUGCCUGCAAUGCUUUGUGAUCUGGGAGGAGGGAACUCCAGAAGAGACAGGCUCAGGAAACCGACGUGUAACCUUUAUCGCCAGGCGGUUCUUCUUAUGA
Molecule: long non-coding RNA, 1024 nt
Filed under: Cavia porcellus (domestic guinea pig)
Lineage: Eukaryota; Metazoa; Chordata; Mammalia; Rodentia; Caviidae
Description: lncRNA (ENSCPOG00000035464.1)
Source: RNAcentral